This 282-nucleotide ribosomal RNA is filed under the name unidentified marine bacterioplankton. Its description in RNAcentral is "partial 16S ribosomal RNA". It matches the Rfam family "Bacterial small subunit ribosomal RNA", at positions 55 to 339 of the family's 1533-position model. The record is from RNAcentral. RNAcentral also lists the same sequence under 1 other name.
AUGCAAGUCGAACGAUGAAGUUCCUUCGGGAAUGGAUUAGUGGCGAACGGGUGAGGAACGCGUGAGAAACCUGCCUUUCAUUCUGGGAUAACACCGGGAAACCGGUGCUAAUACCGGAUACUCCAUCUUGGCGGCAUCGCCGAGCUGGGAAAAAAUUUUGAUGAAAGAUGGUCUCGCGGCCUAUCAGCUAGUUGGUGAGGUAAAGGCUCACCAAGGCGACGACGGGUAGCCGGCCUGAGAGGGCGACCGGCCACACUGGGACUGAGACACGGCCCAGACUCC